Molecule: transfer RNA, 88 nt
Filed under: Xylariaceae sp. FL1019
Lineage: Eukaryota; Fungi; Ascomycota; Sordariomycetes; Xylariales; Xylariaceae
Description: tRNA-Asn
Source: RNAcentral
UCCUCCGUGGCGCAAUUGGCUAGCGCGUUCGACUGUUACAACAUGGCAGAUCAUCGAGAGGUUGACAGUUCAAGCCUGUCCGGGGGAG